Molecule: transfer RNA, 87 nt
Filed under: Pseudidiomarina planktonica
Lineage: Bacteria; Pseudomonadati; Pseudomonadota; Gammaproteobacteria; Alteromonadales; Idiomarinaceae
Also listed under: 1 other name
Description: Idiomarina planktonica tRNA-Leu
Rfam family: tRNA
About the family: Transfer RNA (tRNA) molecules are approximately 80 nucleotides in length. Their secondary structure includes four short double-helical elements and three loops (D, anti-codon, and T loops).
Source: RNAcentral
GUCGAAGUGGUGGAAUUGGUAGACACGCUACCUUGAGGGGGUAGUGCUCUAACGGGCGUGCGGGUUCAAGUCCCGCCUUCGACACCA